Molecule: ribosomal RNA, 495 nt
Filed under: uncultured bacterium
Lineage: Bacteria
Description: bacterial SSU rRNA
Rfam family: Bacterial small subunit ribosomal RNA
Source: RNAcentral
AAAGGAAUUGACGGGGGCCCGCACAAGCGGAGGAACAUGUGGUUUAAUUCGAUGAUACGCGAGGAACCUUACCCGGGCUUGAAAUGGAGUGGAAUAUUGGUGAAAGCCAAUAGUCAGCAAUGACCGCUUUGUAGGUGCUGCAUGGUUGUCGUCAGCUCGUGCCGUGAGGUGUCGGCUUAAGUGCCAUAACGAGCGCAACCCUUAUUGAUAGUUACUAGCGGGUCAAGCCGAGGACUCUAUCGAGACUGCCACCGUAAGGUGUGAGGAAGGUGGGGAUGACGUCAAAUCAGCACGGCCCUUACGUCCGGGGCGACACACGUGUUACAAUGGGGGGUACAGAGGGUUGCUACCUGGUGACAGGAUGCUAAUCUCAUAAAACCUCUCUCAGUUCGGAUCGGAGUCUGCAACUCGACUUCGUGAAGCUGGAUUCGCUAGUAAUCGCGCAUCAGCCAUGGCGCGGUGAAUACGUUCCCGGGCCUUGUACACACCGCCCGU